Molecule: ribosomal RNA, 251 nt
Filed under: uncultured bacterium
Lineage: Bacteria
Description: partial 16S ribosomal RNA
Rfam family: Bacterial small subunit ribosomal RNA
Source: RNAcentral
ACGGAAGGUCCGGGCGUUAUCCGGAUUUAUUGGGUUUAAAGGGAGCGUAGGCCGUUUGUUAAGCGUGUUGUGAAAUGUCGGGGCUCAACCUGGGCAUUGCAGCGCGAACUGGCAGACUUGAGUGCGCGGGAAGUAGGCGGAAUUCGUCGUGUAGCGGUGAAAUGCUUAGAUAUGACGAAGAACUCCGAUUGCGAAGGCAGCCUGCUGUAGCGUAACUGACGCUGAAGCUCGAAAGCGUGGGUAUCGAACAG